Molecule: long non-coding RNA, 1699 nt
Organism: Brassica napus (rape)
Lineage: Eukaryota; Viridiplantae; Streptophyta; Magnoliopsida; Brassicales; Brassicaceae
Exons: 2
Source: RefSeq, a predicted model, not a curated record
AACAAUGGGGAUGAUUGGUUGGGCUAUAAUUAUAAAAAAUUUACUUUAGGAUUUAGUCUGUAGAAUUUUUUGAUUUAGCUUUAAGAAAUGUAACUUUAAAAUUUCUUAAAGCUAAAAAGAUGGGGCUUUAGAAAAUAAGAUUUUUACAACCAUUUUUUAUAUGUUUUUACUGUACCUUUAGUUUUUUUAUUGUAACUUUAAAAACUAAGAUAAAACAUGAUUGGUAUUAUUUAAGGUUGUAGAUGAAAAUUAAAGCUAAAGUCACUUUCUACGAUCCAACCAAUCACUCCCGAUAGCUAUUAAGAAUGAAAAGAGAUUUAAGGAGAACAUACAGUUUUCAGUUACAAAAAAAACAUAUAGUUUUUUUCUGUAAAUGAAGAAAUUUAAAGAGAACAUAUAGUUAAAUAAACAAUAUAUAUGACAUCUGAAUAAAUGUAGUAAGAGAAUACAUAAAAUAUUAUUUAAAAAACUACCAUAAUUGGAGUCGAAAUUUCAUAAUGUCAUUACUAAUACCAGUGAAUAAAAAAACCAUAAAACAAGUUUAUUAAAUUGUUUAUUAAAUUGCGGCCCUUAAAAAAGUUUAUUAAAUUGUGGCCUAAAACAUAUGUUUCUUCUGCAUUUGCAUUAUGUAACGACGUCUUCAAUCCAACACAAUUUUUUCUCCAAAACGGAUUAAAAAAUACUUCAAUUAUAUUCCACUUCAUAAUGGGAUUUAUUCUGUAAAUGAAGUAAUUUUUUUUUUGUUCAUUACUCUAUUAUAAAGUAAGAAAUAAAAUAGAAUUAGAGUAUUUUUACUUCAUAUUUACUUUUACUCUAUUUUAUAGAAAAAAAUGGAAAAUUACAUUAGAAAUGCUCUAAAGACGGACCUCGUCUCUUUGCAAACUAGAUAUUUGAGAUGGCUCUUGUUUUUCGUUUGUGUUGACUAUUCUCUUUGUUGAUUAUUCUUUCUUUUUGUUUCAUUCUGGCUAUAUUUUUAUUCCUUUUAGAUGCAAAUAAAUGCAUGUCUACGAUUAGUUCUUUGUAUGUUUUUCAUGCAAUUCUGAUUUAUUUAUUUUUAUGAGAAUAUGAUUAAUUACUUGGUCAAAUUAAAUGGUUAGGAUCUUUCAAUUAUAAAUUUUGCUUUGUUUCCAAAUACUGUAAGAUUUAAAUUAAAGUAAUAGAGAUUUGCUAUCCAUAGAACAGUUACAAAAUUAAUUGUAUUCUCUCUUUUUAGUCAUACAAAAUGAAUUGUAUUCAAGUCAAAGCAACAAAUGUAUUACAAUGACAAUUAAUGUUUGAUUUCAUUCAUCUCAUCAUGUACAUAUAUAAUAUAUAUAUAUACACGAAUUAUACAUAUCAAACAACAAACAUCAGUUUUAAUUUUGAAUUCCAAGUCUAAAUAACAAAAUUGUUUAAGAGAAUGGCACAAAAGGUGUGUAUGAUAAUGAUGACACUGAUAAUGAUCGGAUGUCAUCUAAAAGCAUGCAGUGGAAUGGAAAACAUGUCAAAGGAAGGCCAUCUCACAACAAUGGAAACAAUAAGGCCGGAUGAUGUUCCAAACCCAGUAUGCAUAAGGAACUGUAGUGUUACUAGUCACAGUAAAAAAGAGUUUCAAGAUUGUAUCACACAUUGCGGAUGAUCAGUUCUGAAUGUUCUAUGUCGAUGUAUUAAAGAUAUUUACAACUCUUUUUCAAUAAAUAAAAAUAAUAAUAAUGCAUUA